RNAcentral lists this ribosomal RNA (501 nucleotides) under uncultured bacterium. Its description in RNAcentral is "partial 16S ribosomal RNA". It matches the Rfam family "Bacterial small subunit ribosomal RNA", at positions 30 to 523 of the family's 1533-position model. The record is from RNAcentral.
AUUGAACGCUGGCGGCAGGCUUAACACAUGCAAGUCGAGCGGAGCGAGGGUGCUUGCACCUUAGCUUAGCGGCGGACGGGUGAGUAAUGCUUAGGAAUCUGCCUAUUAGUGGGGGACAACAUUCCGAAAGGAAUGCUAAUACCGCAUACGCCCUACGGGGGAAAGCAGGGGAUCUUCGGACCUUGCGCUAAUAGAUGAGUCUCAGUCGGAUUAGCUAGUUGGUGGGGUAAAGGCCUACCAAGGCGACGAUCUGUAGCGGGUCUGGGAGGAUGGUCCGCCACACUGGGACUGAGACACGGCCCAGACUCCUGCGGGAGGCAGCAGUGGGGAAUAUUGGACAAUGGGCGGAAGCCUGAUCCAGCCAUGCCGCGUGUGUGAAGAAGGCCUUUUGGUUGUAAAGCACUUUAAGCGAGGAGGAGGCUACUUAGAUUAAUACUCUGGGAUAGUGGACGUUACUCGCAGAAUAAGCACCGGCUAACUCUGUGCCAGCCGCCGCCGUAA